GGGCCCUUAGCUCAGUUGGUAGAGCAGCUGACUCUUAAUCAGCUUGUCGCAGGUUCGAAUCCUGCAGGGCUCACCA
Molecule: transfer RNA, 76 nt
Filed under: Alphaproteobacteria bacterium
Lineage: Bacteria; Pseudomonadati; Pseudomonadota; Alphaproteobacteria
Also listed under: 2 other names
Description: tRNA-Lys
Rfam family: tRNA
About the family: Transfer RNA (tRNA) molecules are approximately 80 nucleotides in length. Their secondary structure includes four short double-helical elements and three loops (D, anti-codon, and T loops). Further hydrogen bonds mediate the characteristic L-shaped molecular structure. tRNAs have two regions of fundamental functional importance: the anti-codon, which is responsible for specific mRNA codon recognition, and the 3' end, to which the tRNAs corresponding amino acid is attached (by aminoacyl-tRNA synthetases). tRNAs cope with the degeneracy of the genetic code in two manners: having more than one tRNA (with a specific anti-codon) for a particular amino acid; and 'wobble' base-pairing, i.e. permitting non-standard base-pairing at the 3rd anti-codon position.
Source: RNAcentral